ACGGAAGGCAGCAGUGGGGGAUAUUGCACAAUGGGCGAAAGCCUGAUGCAGCGACGCCGCGUGAGUGAAGAAGUAUCUCGGUAUGUAAAGCUCUAUCAGCAGGGAAGAAAAUGACGGUACCUGCAGAAUAAGCCCCGGCUAACUACGUGCCAGCAGCCGCGGUAAUACGUAGGGGGCAAGCGUUAUCCGGAUUUACUGGGUGUAAAGGGAGCGUAGACGGCAAUGCAAGUCUGAAGUGAAAGCCCGUGGCUUAACUGCGGGACUGCUUUGGAAACUGCAUGGCUAGAGUGUCGGAGAGGUGAGUGGAAUUCCCAGUGUAGCGGUGAAAUGCGUAGAUAUUGGGAGGAACACCGGAGGCGAAGGCGGCUCACUGGACGAUCACUGACGUUGAGGCUCGAAAGCGUGGGGAGCAAACAGGAUUAGAUACCCCUGGUA
This 435-nucleotide ribosomal RNA is filed under the name uncultured Clostridium sp. RNAcentral's name for it is "partial 16S ribosomal RNA". It matches the Rfam family "Bacterial small subunit ribosomal RNA", at positions 341 to 792 of the family's 1533-position model. Lineage: Bacteria; Bacillati; Bacillota; Clostridia; Eubacteriales; Clostridiaceae. The record is from RNAcentral.